GAUGAACGCUAGCGAUAGGCUUAACACAUGCAAGUCGAGGGGUAACGUGUUGGAAGCUUGCUUCCGAUGACGACGACCGGCGGAUGUGUGCGUAACGCGUAUUCAACUUGCCUCACAGUGGAGAAUAACCCGGAGAAAUCCGGACUAAUACUCCAUACACUCUUAAGUACGCCUGUACAUGAGAGGAAAGAUUUAUCGCUGUGAGAUAGGCAUGCGUCCUAUUAGGUAGUUGGUGAGGUAACGGCUCACCAAGCCGACGAUAGGUAGGGGUGCUGAGAGGCAGAUCCCCCACAUUGGGACUGAGACACGGCCCAAACUCCUACGGGAGGCAGCAGUGAGGAAUAUUGGUAAAUGGAGGAAACUCUGAACCAGCCAAGUCGCGUGAAGGAAGAAUGUCCUAAGGAUUGUAAACUUCUUUAGCGAGCGAGUAAGGACUUCCACGUGAUGGGAGUUUGAAAGUAGCUCGAGAAUAAGUAUCGGCUAACUCCGUG
Molecule: ribosomal RNA, 491 nt
Filed under: uncultured bacterium
Lineage: Bacteria
Description: partial 16S ribosomal RNA
Rfam family: Bacterial small subunit ribosomal RNA
Source: RNAcentral